UCGAGACCCGAACGAACGGACGAUCGCGAACGUGUUACAUAUCCAAAACGACUUCGGUUCGUCCCCGUCGCCCCUCGCGGUGCGGCGUGGCGAGACGGAGGAAACGAAACCCCGGCGCGGUGGGCGCCAAGGAACACUUUUUACAAGCGCCGUCGCGGCCUCCUCCCCCACCUCUAUAUAUAGGGUGGAAGGAGGGGGAACGCGGGCGUGGAYAUAGAUAUCGUAUUCUGUACGACUCUCGGCAACGGAUAUCUAGGCUCUCGCAUCGAUGAAGAACGUAGCGAAAUGCGAUACUUGGUGUGAAUUGCAGAAUCCCGUGAACCAUCGAGUCUUUGAACGCAAGUUGCGCCCGAGGCCAUCCGGCCGAGGGCACGCCUGCCUGGGCGUCACGCCUCCCGUCGCUCCCCACACCCCGUGUGCGGAUGCGGAGAUUGGCCCACCGUGCCUCGUGCGCGGCGGGUCGAAGUGCCGGCCGUCGUCGGGCCGGGCGCGGCGAAUGGUGGACGAAUACUUCGUUGUUUGUGCCUACUCUCCGUGCCCCGGCCCCCAACAAUGCGACGUGCCGUCGUCGGACCCCUCACCAAGGAAGGACCCCUCUACUAAGGAUCCGUCCUCGGAACG
Molecule: unclassified non-coding RNA, 621 nt
Filed under: Crocus paschei
Lineage: Eukaryota; Viridiplantae; Streptophyta; Magnoliopsida; Asparagales; Iridaceae
Description: sequence contains ITS1, 5.8S rRNA gene, ITS2
Source: RNAcentral